Molecule: ribosomal RNA, 541 nt
Filed under: uncultured bacterium
Lineage: Bacteria
Description: partial 16S ribosomal RNA
Rfam family: Bacterial small subunit ribosomal RNA
Source: RNAcentral
UGGGGAAUAUUGCACAAUGGGCGAAAGCCUGAUGCAGCAACGCCGCGUGAGGGACGACGGCCUUCGGGUUGUAAACCUCUUUUAGCAAGGAAGAAGCGAAAGUGACGGUACUUGCAGAAAAAGCGCCGGCUAACUACGUGCCAGCAGCCGCGGUAAUACGUAGGGCGCAAGCGUUAUCCGGAAUUAUUGGGCGUAAAGAGCUCGUAGGCGGUUUGUCGCGUCUGCUGUGAAAACCCGAGGCUCAACCUCGGGCCUGCAGUGGGUACGGGCAGACUAGAGUGCGGUAGGGGAGAUUGGAACUCCUGGUGUAGCGGUGGAAUGCGCAGAUAUCAGGAAGAACACCGAUGGCGAAGGCAGAUCUCUGGGCCGUAACUGACACUGAGGAGCGAAAGGGUGGGGAGCAAACAGGCUUAGAUACCCUGGUAGUCCACCCCGUAAACGUUGGGAACUAGUUGUGGGGUCCAUUCCACGGAUUCCGUGACGCAGCUAACGCAUUAAGUUCCCCGCCUGGGGAGUACGGCCGCAAGGCUAAAACUUGAAA